RNAcentral lists this long non-coding RNA (396 nucleotides) under Ananas comosus (pineapple). RNAcentral describes it as "long non-coding RNA (ACOM_LNC010237)". Lineage: Eukaryota; Viridiplantae; Streptophyta; Magnoliopsida; Poales; Bromeliaceae. The record is from RNAcentral.
CCAACUAAACCAUUUUCUAUUAUUCUUUUUAUGUUCUUUUUAUUCUCUGAUACCAUCUUAUCUGUCACACCUCGAGCCCGCGUCUUCGGUCAGAUUCGGGCACGUCAACGGACCGCCGAAUGGACAGGGUUUUCCUUAUACCGCGAACAAAGUCUCCCCUGUACGUCCAAGGCGUCACAAUCCAUACAAAGCGCGAGGUUCCAACUAGGAACAGUAUUCAAACAAGGAUUGCAUAAGAAAGUAUCAAAAAUAUAAAUACAACUAUACUAUUACAAGCAUUCAUCUCAAUUUUUUUUACAUAUUAUAUGCAUCUUACAUUUUAGUCUUCCAAAUACAAUCCAAAUUAUUACAAAUUAUUACAAUCUUAUUCUUUUCGUUUCCUUACAUCCCUAAGUA